UUCAGUCAAUUGUGCACGCUUAGUGGAUAUUUAGGGCUGAUUUGCUUCCAAACGCAACCUGCAAAGAUCAGACAAUGAAAAUCUAAUUAGAAUAAAACCCAAAAUAAAAUAUAUUGAUAUUAACUCAAAAAAAAAAAUUCAGUUUUUGUGUUCUUCAAUUUUUUGAUUUAUUUUUUAUUUUUGUUUUUGUGAUUUUGUGAUAAUGAAUGAAAGCAAGAAAAUGCCGACCCCACUUAGUGGGAAAAUGCUUUGUUGUUGUUGAAUGAAAGCAAGAAAAUAAAAUGAAAAUAAAAGCAAAGAGUUAAAAAAAUUAGAUUGCCUCCCAAUUAGCGUUUUAGUUAACGUUUAUAGCUUGACGUAGGAGAAAGAAUUGUUAAUCACGUCACUUGUUCUUUUAAAGUUAACCACUCCUUAAUAGCAUCGUAGGUGGGUAGUAGGUACAGAUUUGUAUCAGUUGUGCAUUUAAAUUCAGAGGUGGAGCCUUUAUGUCCACCAUUUUAUGUGAAUGAAUAUUUGUAAUCAAAGAGGUUCCUUUCUGGCAAUGUUUUGGUCUCCGUCGAAUUGACUUUAAUCUUGUAUUUACUACCCACAACCUCUGCACUGGUAGAAUUUCUCUAUGAGUAAUUUGGCUGUCACAAACUUUUUUCUUCUUCCCAUUGUAGAACGUAGCCUGCUCGAUGGAUCUGCACUGAAUUUUUUUAAUUAUGA
Molecule: long non-coding RNA, 708 nt
Filed under: Malus domestica (apple)
Lineage: Eukaryota; Viridiplantae; Streptophyta; Magnoliopsida; Rosales; Rosaceae
Description: long non-coding RNA (MDOM_LNC019515)
Source: RNAcentral